Long non-coding RNA from Passer montanus (Eurasian tree sparrow), 1046 nucleotides. RefSeq lists it as uncharacterized. The transcript is spliced from 3 exons. NCBI's taxonomy places the organism in Eukaryota, Metazoa, Chordata, Aves, Passeriformes, Passeridae. The record is from RefSeq and is a predicted model, not a curated record.
AGCACUGCUUGCCUUAUAAAAGAGAUGACUCUGCCUAUAUGUUACCUCCCUGCUGCUUUUCUCUUUUCAUAACUUGCCAGAUUCUAGGUUAUCCAUUACAACUCCAAUUUGUCAAUAUAAAUGCACUCAGGAAGCUGCAUCAACGUGAAGUCAACAAGAUACCAUAAUUAAGGAUAUAGCUAGGCAAAUCCUAUAGCAGGAUUUUAAUGUGGCAUAAUGGGAAUGUGAACCACCAGGACUCUGACUUAAUUAAGGAAAAGAAAAUAAAAAGUUAUCUAUUGUUUCAUUGUCUCGAAUCUAUGCAGGACAGACCUCCUACAGAGCUACUGGUGACUGGCUCUGGGUCAGUUCUUAAUUCCACUCAACGAAUAUCCCAGAGAUCAGUGCAGCCAGGACCAUCAAAGCCAGGAAACCAGAAGGAAGCAGUUCAAACUGUUGUAUUUGUCCUCAACAUUUUGUGACUGCACUCUUACGCUCUGUCAUUAUAUUUAUUUUUGCAUAAACAUUCCCUUUGGACACCUGGAGUUGACAGCAACGGGAUCUUUUCAAAGUACAUAAUCCAAAGAUGUCAUGCUUGCUUCAAACUGCUUGUAGAUGAAACAACAGCUGGAUGAGAAGAACAAUGAACAGGGACCUCCUGAGUCCUGUCCUGAGCGCACUGAGGGUUCUGCAGCCUCCAGGAUGUCAGGAAGGGACAGAGCCCUCGCCACACUGUCCUCCUCACCAGAAUGAAACAGCUUUUCCAUUUCUCUGACACCCCGUGAAGAUCUGCCCUGAGGAUGGUUUCAGUGUGCACCAAGGAUGAGCAGUGAGGACCUGUGGAUAUCUUCUUCUAACCAGCAGAUACCAUUGCAACAAAAUCUGUUCAUUCUUUAUCCCACUAUCUUCAUUGUGGAAGCUGAAAUACAACAUGUCAGCUGGAGAAGGGCAGUCUGAGGUAAGCUUGGGGCACACACUUCAAGGCUGGAUCCCACAAAGAUCUGAAUUGUAGUGAAAAUCAGAAAUGUAUAGGUCUUGGUUCUGUGUUCAGCACUGAAGAACUUCUA